This 588-nucleotide ribosomal RNA is filed under the name uncultured bacterium. RNAcentral describes it as "bacterial SSU rRNA". It matches the Rfam family "Bacterial small subunit ribosomal RNA", at positions 338 to 915 of the family's 1533-position model. The record is from RNAcentral.
CCUACGGGAGGCAGCAGUAGGGAAUCUUCCGCAAUGGACGAAAGUCUGACGGAGCAACGCCGCGUGAACGAUGAAGGCCUUCGGGUCGUAAAGUUCUGUUGUUAGGGAAGAACAAGUGCUAGUUGAAUAAGCUGGCACCUUGACGGUACCUAACCAGAAAGCCACGGCUAACUACGUGCCAGCAGCCGCGGUAAUACGUAGGUGGCAAGCGUUGUCCGGAAUUAUUGGGCGUAAAGCGCGCGCAGGCGGUUUCUUAAGUCUGAUGUGAAAGCCCCCGGCUCAACCGGGGAGGGUCAUUGGAAACUGGGAAACUUGAGUGCAGAAGAGGAAAGUGGAAUUCCAAGUGUAGCGGUGAAAUGCGUAGAGAUUUGGAGGAACACCAGUGGCGAAGGCGACUUUCUGGUCUGUAACUGACGCUGAGGCGCGAAAGCGUGGGGAGCAAACAGGAUUAGAUACCCUGGUAGUCCACGCUGUAAACGAUGAGUGCUAAGUGUUAGAGGGUUUUCCGCCCUUUUAGUGCUGAAGUUAACGCAUUAAGCACUCCGCCUGGGGAUACGGUCNCAAGACUGAAACUCAAAUGAAUUGACG